Non-coding RNA from Capsicum annuum, 103 nucleotides. The record is from Rfam. Lineage: Eukaryota; Viridiplantae; Streptophyta; Magnoliopsida; Solanales; Solanaceae.
UGGCGAUGGGACAAUCUCUAAUAAAAUCCUUGAAUCUCUCCCAUACUUGAUACAAAUUUUCCUCUGGCAUUUUUUUGAAGCUUAAGAUUUCACACCUUAGCCU